GGUGGUAGAUCUUCUGGGUUACUAUUGUUAUCUUCGUCGAAUGGCAGAUUGUCUCGUGCUGGUAAUUGCUUGCAAUAGGUAGUUGGUUCUACAUUUGCUAUUGUUGAUGUUGCGAUCGAUGGUUCUUACGAAUUAUUCUUUUUGGAUCUGUGGCUGGCUUUAUAGGUGUUCUCCUACUACGAGUCAUACACUAACCCCAAAAAGAGAAUAAAAAAUGUAGUAAAAAUAAGAAAAUAAAAUUGUACCUAUAAUUUAGGAAUUUCCUACUUAUUCUAUUAAAAUGAAAAAAUUAAAAUUAAACCAGUGACGUUGCCUCCUCGGCAACGGCACCAACAACUUGA
RNAcentral lists this long non-coding RNA (341 nucleotides) under Gossypium barbadense (sea-island cotton). RNAcentral's name for it is "long non-coding RNA (GBAR_LNC014757)". The record is from RNAcentral. Lineage: Eukaryota; Viridiplantae; Streptophyta; Magnoliopsida; Malvales; Malvaceae.